AUGCUUGACAAGCCCGAGGAGAUAUAAUUUUAUAUUUCCACUCCCACUGGGUUCCGAUCCAUUGCAUGCCUUUCAUGGCUUGUGGAUGGCCACACUAUGUAUAAACACUGUACUACAACUGCGAGGAUAGGCGUAGAGCUCCCUUAAACAUCCCAUAAUCGGAUCGUUCACUUCAGCUUUUAGCUGUAAGGUGGUAACUAACCAUUUAGAGACUAGUGGUUGGAAAUUGGAAAAGCAGCAUUUCAUCGGUCAGGUGAGUAUAUACAUUUCUUUAAUUUGUUGAUCAAUUUCAAGAUUCAGGCACGUAACAUAGCUGAUCAGAAUGGGCGCAGUAGCUGCUAUGAUGAUUAUACUGGUUUUUCUAAACCUUGGAGCUGUUGCUACUGCUCAUCAAGAGGUUUCUAAUUUCGCUCGGCUGUUUUCUACUUCAAGCAAUUUAUCAAGCAGUACCACUCUGGAUGACAAGAGAGGUGUCCCAACAGGAGCAAAUCCUCUGCAUAAUAGGUAGCAAAGUGUGAAUUAUUCAAAAAAUUUCAGUUGUAGCAGGUUGCUUGAGCUAGAAGACGAAGGAGGAAGAGGAAGGUUAAUUGAGAUUCCUUCUGUUGUUUUCUAUUAUAUCAUGAUGUAUGUGUUUGGUAUAGAAAAGAAGUGUAGUGAUUGAUUUUGUCUUAGUGGGGAGGCUUUUGAGUUCUGACAUGAAUGUGCACGAGUUGUCUGUUGGUUCGCCAAAUUUCAAAGCCUGUGAUCAUAAGCAUGUCUUUUAUAAGUAGAGGGUUUAAUCAUGAAAUCAUCAUGUGCUUUAUCACUUCUUACAAUAUUAUGCUAUUUUCAAGUA
RNAcentral lists this long non-coding RNA (835 nucleotides) under Manihot esculenta (cassava). Its description in RNAcentral is "long non-coding RNA (MESC_LNC012123)". The record is from RNAcentral. Lineage: Eukaryota; Viridiplantae; Streptophyta; Magnoliopsida; Malpighiales; Euphorbiaceae.